AAGUCGUAACAAGGUUUCCGUAGGUGAACCUGCGGAAGGAUCAUUAACACGUAUCCACGUAUCAACCAAACGGUAACUGUAUCUCCCUAAUAAUUGUGACGCUGUUCGAUCGAAUCAUGGUGGGUAUGUCCUCGUGGCAUGCGAUUUGAUUGAACUGGGGCUUCGAGCUCCAGGUGUUGCGCUUUAUUAGGCUUUUUUCCCAUCAUACCUUUCUCCCUUAAGGUACGAUGGGAAGCUAACAAACCUAUUUCACCCUAACUAUCAACAUUUGACUAAUACUAUUCACUUGGAGAAAUCCAA
This 300-nucleotide unclassified non-coding RNA is filed under the name Phylloporus sp. RNAcentral's name for it is "partial contains small subunit ribosomal RNA and internal transcribed spacer 1". The stretch from base 1 to 46 matches the Rfam family "Eukaryotic small subunit ribosomal RNA", at positions 1786 to 1831 of the family's 1831-position model. The record is from RNAcentral. Lineage: Eukaryota; Fungi; Basidiomycota; Agaricomycetes; Boletales; Boletaceae.